UACAGAGGUCCCAAGCGUUACUGAGAAUCACUGGGUUUAAAGGGCGCGUAGGUGGUCCGUUAAGUCAGUUGUGAAAUCCCCGGGCUCAACCCGGGAACUGCUUCUGAUACUGGCGGACUUGAGGCCAGUAGGGGUCACUAGAACUGACGGUGGAGCGGUGAAAUGCGUAGAUAUCGUCAGGAAUGCCGGUGGUGAAGACGGGUGACUGGGCUGGUUCUGACACUGAGGCACGAAAGCGUGGGGAGCGAACGGG
Molecule: ribosomal RNA, 253 nt
Filed under: uncultured bacterium
Lineage: Bacteria
Description: partial 16S ribosomal RNA
Rfam family: Bacterial small subunit ribosomal RNA
Source: RNAcentral